CUGAGCCAUGGUCGGCGGCUACAGUUGCGACAACUGCGACAACGCUUCGCGAGACGACGGAGUGACGUCAUCUCGUCGUGGAGGACGGCACGCUACAGGAGCAGGAGCACCACACUCGUCCGUACUGGUAUGGUGACACCUUCGCGCUAUCACGCCUGUGGUGACUCCGCUCCAGGCCAUUUGCCGCGUGAUCUAAGUGACGUCAUAACGUCGGACAGUUGCGUCAUAGACUUGGUGACGUCAUGCUGGGUGGUUGGUGACGUCAUACUGGAUGGUUGACGUCAUAGUGAGGGGUGACGUAAUACCGUACUAUUGUGACGUCAUGACGGGGGUGACGUCAUACUGAGCUUUUGACGUCAUAUAGCGAUUGUGGCGUCAUAUUUAACGGAGUUCGCGUUUUGUUGGGUGUUCCGUCGGCUGUUAACGUGUUCCCGACGGUUAUUGAUCGUGAAUGAACUGCACUCGGUGUUAUAUUAAGCAAACUCUAAGUUUUCACGUGAUCCUGGAUAAUUUUCCUAUUGAUUUACCUCACCUGUCUGGAGACUCACCUCGGUUUCACGCGUCGUCGAUAGGCGGUUUGUCCUCCGGGCAGCUCGCUGAUUGUCGUAGCUGGCUCGGUCGCCUUGCGUGAUAGGUUGAUCAACUGCUAACUAAGUCUUGUACUUCAAUUGGUCACACUUCUGUUAAUCAGCUAGAUGAUAGUUGGGAGCCGCUUUGAUUAGUUGUCAUCAAUCAUGAAUCCUCUAGAAGAGCUGAAAGUGUCGGAGUUGAAGGCGGAGUUGAAGGGAAGAGGUGCAGACACUAAGGGUUCGAAGCCGGCGCUGAUGCUGCGAUUAAAUGAGGUUUUGGUUCAAGAAGGAAUCGACGUUGCAUCAUUCGUUGCAGCUCGACGGGACGUUUCCGCCGAACCGAGAGCUGAUGCCGCAGCCGCUGAGGUGGCUGUUCCUGAUUUAGACAACACGGUCCCGGCUCCUGGACCCCUCGUCAGAGCCACAUCACAGAUGUCCUUGCGUAGUUCUGCCUCGCAAGUCUCCAUCUCUUCGUUGCGAGCAGCGGAGUCGGCGACGAAGGCGGGACUGAUGGCUCGAGCUGCCUUUCUGAAAAGGAAGCAGAAGAUGGAGAAGGAAGAACUGGAGAUGAAGAUGCGCAAGCAGAAGAUAGAGAAUGAAGAACUGGAGAUGAAGAUGCGCAUGGAGAAUCUGCAGUUGGAGAGUGAGCUGGCAGAGGUGGAAGCCAGAGAACGUGCACUGAUGGAAGCCGAAGAGCAAGGUUCUCAAACAAGACCAGGCGUGGCUUCGUUGCGAGCUGUCUGUCCAGCUGAGCCGAACGAGAGGACUGGACAUGCAGAAGACGUUGUCGGCAGCGAGCAACCACUGGUCACUGUUCAGUCAGACGCUGGGGCUUCAGAGGCGCGUGCUGAUCAGAUGAACGUCAGGAAGAAUCCACCUCAACCUGACCUUAACGCUUCACAGCCCGAUGCUACACAGGUCAUCCUGUCCCAGAUCCAGCAAAGUCGUCUCCCGAGACCAGAGUUGCCAGUUUUCAAGGGUGAUGUAACACAAUACAGAUCCUUCAUCCGUGCCUUCGAUAGCAGGAUCGGGAGCAAGACCGACAGUGAUUCGGAGCGGCUGUUCUACUUGGAGCAAUACUGCGCUGGAAAACCACGGGACAUCAUCAGAGGAUGUCUUCACAUGACCGAAGAUGUUGGAUAUCUGGAGGCUCGGCGACUGCUGGAACGAAGAUAUGGCGACCCAGAAACAGUCUCGUCGGCAUUCGUUGACAUGUUGAUGGACUGGCCUCAGCUGAAGCCAGGAGAUGUUGAAGGACUUGAUCGUUUCUCACUGGCGCUCACCUCGUGUUUGAAUGUAAUGCAGAGCAUUCCUCUUGGAGCCAGGGAGACUGACCAUCCCCGGACGAUGCGGAAAGUUGUAGAGAAGCUCCCCAGCCAUCUGCAGGACUCCUGGCGGCGACGAGCUCACAAGAUCCAAGAGUCUGAGAAGAGGAGGGUGAAGUUUCAAGACGUCGUCACCUUCGUCGACAGCGAGGUGCAAAUCCAGACCAAUCCUACGUUUGGCAGGCACCGAGAAGAACGAGUCAGAAGACAGACACACACAGUCUCAGCUACAGCAGUUGCAGGAGCGGUACAGUCCUCGAAGAGUUGUCUGUACUGUCAUGGUAGUCACUUCACUGAUCUGUGUGCUGAGUUGGUCAAGCUGCAAUGGGAAAAACGGCGAGAGUUCGUUCGUGAGAACAGACUGUGCUUCGGAUGCCUUCGAAAGGGCCACAGAUUCAGUAACUGCUUCAGGAAGCUCGUCUGUGGAACUUGUAAGCGGCUGCAUCCAACAGCGAUGCACAAGAACGAAAGUGCUGAAGGAACUGGUCAGAACCCUUCUGAUGGAAAUGGUGAGCAAAACACUUCUGUGAAGAAUGGACGAUUGGAUGCAUCGCCGACUGAAGUCUCUGCUGGUACGGCAAGCUGCAGGUCGUCGGCGAUGAUGGCUAUUCUGCCGGUGAAGAUGUGGAACGCUGACUGCUCUCGUUCAGUCGUCACGCAUGCGUUCUUGGAUUUGGGCUCAAGCGCAACGUUUUGCACGCCGAAUCUUCUGAAGGCGCUGGGCAUGGAAGGAGAAACUACGGAGCUCACAAUGACGACUGCAACAGCUGAGAACCAGCGGAUUUCCAGCACAUUGGUGAAAGGCCUGAAGAUAUCUGACAUGGCGGGGAAGAAAGUAAUGGAUUUACCGCCGUCGUACACGUUGCAGAGAAUUCCAGUCGAUCGCCAGGAUAUCGCAACAGCUACGGAUCUGGAGCGCUGGCCACAACUGCAAGAGGUUGUUCCCCCGGAAGUACAUGCGGAUAUUGAACUUUUGAUCGGAGCCAAUUGUCCUCAGGCCCUGAUACCUCUCGAAGUUCGCGCUGGUGGAGAGGGAUGCCCAUUUGCCAUUCGUACGUCUCUUGGAUGGGUGGUGUAUGGACCAAGAUCCCGCAGCCGGGUUUUCGAUGGAAGCGCGAGAGUAAAUCGUAUCGAGGUACUAAGCCCAACAGAUGAUGAAUUUGACCUUCACAGCAAAUUUGUCGCGCUCUACAACCAGGACUUCGAGCAUGAUCUUAGUUCCACAGACGUUGGCUUCUCCAUUGAAGAUCGAGCGUGGAUGAAGAUCGUGGAGGGCGGAGUCCGUCACCUGGAUGGUCGUUACCAGAUACCCCUGCCACUGAAAAGCGAGAUCAUCCUGCCGGACAACAAACAGCAAGCAGAGAGACGAGCAGAGCAGCUGAAAAGGAAAAUGCUCAAGAGCCAGAAGUAUCUCCAAGACUACAAAACAUUUGUCAAUGAGUUAAUCGAGAAAAACUACGCAGAACGUGUCAAGAACGAGCAGAUCGACAUGGCAGAGGGACGUACCUGGUAUAUACCGCAUCAUGGUGUAUAUCAUCCGAUGAAACCUGAAAAGAUUCGUGUCGUCUACGAUUGCUCUGCAACUUACCAGGGCAUGUCGCUCAACAGUCGGCUGCUGCAAGGACCAAAUCUGACGAGUUCUCUCUUGGGCGUGUUGCUGAGGUUCCGAGAGGGACCGGUAGCAGUCAUGGCUGAUAUUGAAAAAAUGUUCUAUCAGGUGAGGGUUCCGGAGGAUGACAGAAGUUUGCUCAGAUUUUUAUGGUGGCCGAAUGGUGACACAGAACGGGAACUGGAAGUGUAUCAGAUGAAUGUGCACCUCUUCGGUGCGAUCAGUUCUCCGUCUUGUGCAAACUUCGCGCUACGGAGGACAGCGCAGGACUUCGGAGAUAAGUUUGAUGCUGACGUCAUAGACAGUAUUCAACGCUCGUUCUAUGUUGAUGAUUUCAUGAAGACAGGAUCUACGGCUGAUGAGGUGUUGAGGAUUGCAAGAGGAGUCAGAGACUGCUGUGCGUUGGGAGGAUUCCGACUGACCAGCUUCGUCAGUAACUGCCCUGACGUCAUGUUCUGUUUCCCGGAAUCUGAGCGCGUGACACACAAGAAGUUUGAUCUGACCGGCCACAAUCUUUCUGCGCAGACGCUAAGAGCUUUGGGUGUUCAGUGGGACGUAUCUGAAGAUACUCUUAGCUUCCGUGUUGAUGUCAGGAGGGGUCCGACAACCAGGAGAGGCAUUCUUUCUACAGCAAGUGCCGUUUAUGAUCCGCUAGGGUUCGGAGCUCCUUUCGUCAUGUCAGCCAAAAUCCUGUUGCAAGAUCUCUGCAGGCUGAAGUUGGGAUGGGACGACCCGGUUCCAGAUGCUCACCUGAGAAGAUGGGAUCAGUGGUGCAAAGAACUGAGCCUUCUGCGGGAGUUCAGCGUGCCAAGAAGUGUGACUGCACCAGACACGGUGGUGAAUUGCCAACUUCACAUGUUUGCUGAUGCAAGCGAAGCUGGCUACGGUGCAGUAGGCUACACCAGGGUGACUGACAGCACAGGGACAGUUCGCACUUCGCUUCUGAUGAGCAAGGCCAGAGUAGCGCCGCUGAAGACUUCUUCAAUCCCUCGACUAGAGCUGGCCGCUGCGACGCUAGCUGUGCAGUUGAGCACACAGAUACUUACCGAACUUGACCUGAAAGUUGACGAAGUGCAUUUUUGGACGGACAGUGUGUCCACGCUUCGCUACAUCCACAAUACCACUUCUCGUUUCCAGACAUUUGUGUCCAACAGGCUUUCCGUCAUCCAUGAUGGUUCUGAGCCCGUUCAGUGGAAGUACGUGCCGUCUGCACUGAACCCGGCGGAUGCUCUCUCCCGUGGACAGUCGGCACGCGAGUUUCUUCAAUCGGUAUGGGCUACUGGCCCAGCGUUCCUCGGCGCAGAAGCAGCUGAAUGGCCUGACCAGAAGCAUGUGAUCCAACGCCAUGAAGAUGUUGAAGAUCUUGAGGUAAAGAGAGGCUUGGGGACUCUCUCGGUAGCAGCUGAGUGUGACAGUACUUCGAAGUUGUUGAACAGCGUAUCUGACUGGCACAAGCUCAAGAGGCACGUGGCGUGGUGGCUUCGGCUGAAGUGCAUGCUGCGGAAGCGGUUGAUGAACAGAGGUGAUUGUGAUGCCGAGGUAGCGGGUCAGCUCUCGCGGGUCAGCUCUCGCUUGACCGUUCAAGAACUUGAUGAUGCAGAAGUGGCGAUUGUGCAGUACACUCAGAAGAAGGCCUUUCCAGAAGACUAGUUUGUGUUGAUUGAUAGCUGUAUUUCCAGAAGACUGAACUGGGGAUUGACUGCAAGCGGUUGGCGAUGAAGGCUCCAAUUGCGCUUAGCACGUUUGGUCUGUUGAACCUGGAAGGUUCAAGGGUGGGGGUGUAGGCGCGCCAUUUCCAUUUUGUCAUUUUAUGUUCCUUAGUCCACGUUUACCAUUCUGCUGAUUUCCUAUUUUCUUCCUUGGUUUCGCAGCCUUGGCACAUUGCUCGCUCGGUCCCUCUGACCUGUCGAGGUCACCGGCUGACCGUAGCCUGGGGCAGGGCCCAGGAAUGUAGCUGCGCCGUCGCGACCGCAGGGUCAGAAAAGUAGUAACUGGAAACUGUGAUAUUUGACUCGUUAAUGUGUAUGUUAUGCCCAAUAAUGUGCUCAGGAUUGUAAAAUGUAUUGUUUGAUGCGAGUAGGGAUCUCCUGGACAUUUAAGUUGCGAAUAUGAUAGCUGACGCGGAUGAACAUUUCUGAAUAUGGGCGGUGCCCGGCGCCCCGGCGCUGGUCGGGGGCGCGGCGCGGGUCAGUUGAGCCCCGUUGAGGCUGGUGGUAUGUGGUGGUGUCUGCGCCAGAGCCGCCAUUUACCAAGACCGUGAGGCUGGUCGUCUAAUGUGCCUCUGGAGACGUGUGCCUCUGGUUUCGUUAGCCGAUAAGCGACUCAGGGAGCACAUUUGUCGCAACGAUUGCGUGCGGAGGGCCACACGGUCCAAUACACCGAUCCGUGACG
Molecule: unclassified non-coding RNA, 5894 nt
Filed under: Amphibalanus amphitrite
Lineage: Eukaryota; Metazoa; Arthropoda; Thecostraca; Balanomorpha; Balanidae
Description: uncharacterized LOC122366790, transcript variant X2
Source: RNAcentral